AGAGUUUGAUCCUGGCUCAGGAUGAACGCUGGCGGCGUGCUUAACACAUGCAAGUCGAACGGGAAAUAUUUCAUUGAGACUUCGGUGGAUUUGAUCUAUUUCUAGUGGCGGACGGGUGAGUAACGCGUGGGUAACCUGCCUUAUACAGGGGGAUAACAGUCAGAAAUGGCUGCUAAUACCGCAUAAGCGCACAGAGCUGCAUGGCUCAGUGUGAAAAACUCCGGUGGUAUAAGAUGGACCCGCGUUGGAUUAGCUAGUUGGUGGGGUAACGGCCCACCAAGGCGACGAUCCAUAGCCGGCCUGAGAGGGUGAACGGCCACAUUGGGACUGAGACACGGCCCAGACUCCUACGGGAGGCAGCAGUGGGGAAUAUUGCACAAUGGGGGAAACCCUGAUGCAGCGACGCCGCGUGAAGGAAGAAGUAUCUCGGUAUGUAAACUUCUAUCAGCAGGGAAGAUAGUGACGGUACCUGACUAAGAAGCCCCGGCUAACUACGUGCCAGCAGCCGCGGUAAUACGUAGGGGGCAAGCGUUAUCCGGAUUUACUGGGUGUAAAGGGAGCGUAGACGGUGUGGCAAGUCUGAUGUGAAAGGCAUGGACUCAACCUGUGGACUGCAUUGGAAACUGUCAUACUUGAGUGCCGGAGGGGUAAGCGGAAUUCCUAGUGUAGCGGUGAAAUGCGUAGAUAUUAGGAGGAACACCAGUGGCGAAGGCGGCUUACUGGACGGUAACUGACGUUGAGGCUCGAAAGCGUGGGGAGCAAACAGGAUUAGAUACCCUGGUAGUCCACACAGUAAACGAUGAAUACUCGCUGUUUGCGAUAUACAGUAAGCGGCCAAGCGAAAGCAUUAAGUAUUCCACCUGGGGAGUACGCCGGCAACGGUGAAACUCAAAGGAAUUGACGGGGGCCCGCACAAGCGGAGGAACAUGUGGUUUAAUUCGAUGAUACGCGAGGAACCUUACCCGGGCUUAAAUUGCAACAGAAUAUAUUGGAAACAGUAUAGCCGUAAGGCUGUUGUGAAGGUGCUGCAUGGUUGUCGUCAGCUCGUGCCGUGAGGUGUCGGCUUAAGUGCCAUAACGAGCGCAACCCUUAUCUUUAGUUACUAACAGGUUAUGCUGAGGACUCUAGAGAGACUGCCGUCGUAAGAUGUGAGGAAGGUGGGGAUGACGUCAAAUCAGCACGGCCCUUACGUCCGGGGCUACACACGUGUUACAAUGGGGGGUACAGAAGGCGGCUACCUGGUGACAGGAUGCUAAUCCCAAAAACCUCUCUCAGUUCGGAUCGAAGUCUGCAACCCGACUUCGUGAAGCUGGAUUCGCUAGUAAUCGCGCAUCAGCCAUGGCGCGGUGAAUACGUUCCCGGGCCUUGUACACACCGCCCGUCAAGCCAUGAAAGCCGGGGGUACCUGAAGUACGUAACCGCAAGGAGCGUCCUAGGGUAAAACUGGUAAUUGGGGCUAAGUCGUAACAAGGUA
RNAcentral lists this ribosomal RNA (1474 nucleotides) under metagenome. Its description in RNAcentral is "bacterial SSU rRNA". It matches the Rfam family "Bacterial small subunit ribosomal RNA". The record is from RNAcentral.